This 248-nucleotide unclassified non-coding RNA is filed under the name Hevea brasiliensis (rubber tree). Lineage: Eukaryota; Viridiplantae; Streptophyta; Magnoliopsida; Malpighiales; Euphorbiaceae. The record is from RNAcentral.
GCGAUUUAAUUGAUUUUCUGCAUUAACAUUCGUACUCUGCUAACCAAGAAGUAACCUCCACUGGAGGGCAGGCCCAAAGGCGCAAACCCGGUGCUAAGCUAUGGACAUAGCCUAAACGAGCAAGGGCAUCAGCAAUUGAUCUCACGAUUGCUAACUGAAGGGGCAUUGCCACGGAAGUGAGCGCAGAUUCAGGUAUCCAGUCUGUACAGACCGGUGCCAAACCAUGACUCUUGCUCUCGCAAAUCGAG